GAGGGUGUAGCUCAGUGGUAGAGUGUGUGCUUAGCAUGCACGAGGUCCUAGGUUCAAUCCCCAGUACUGCCA
This 72-nucleotide transfer RNA is filed under the name Camelus bactrianus (Bactrian camel). It matches the Rfam family "tRNA". Rfam says of the family: Transfer RNA (tRNA) molecules are approximately 80 nucleotides in length. Their secondary structure includes four short double-helical elements and three loops (D, anti-codon, and T loops). Lineage: Eukaryota; Metazoa; Chordata; Mammalia; Artiodactyla; Camelidae. RNAcentral also lists the same sequence under 3 other names. The record is from Rfam by way of RNAcentral.